GACGAACGCUGGCGGCGUGCUUAACACAUGCAAGUCGAGCGGUAAGGCCCCUUCGGGGGUACGACGAGCGGCGAACGGGUGAGUAACACGUGGGUGACCUGCCCUUAGCUCUGGGAUAAGCCUGGGAAACUGGGUCUAAUACCGGAUAUGACUCCAUGACGCAUGUUGUGGGGUGAAAGCCUUGUGCGGCUAGGGAUGGGCCCGCGGCCUAUCAGCUUGUUGGUGGGGUGAUGGCCACCAAGGCGACGACGGGUAGCCGGCCUGAGAGGGCGACCGGCCACACUGGGACUGAGACACGGCCCAGACUCCUACGGGAGGGCAGCAGUGGGGGAAUCUUGCGGCCAAUGGGGCGAAAGACCUGACGCAGCGACGCCGCGUGGGGA
RNAcentral lists this ribosomal RNA (383 nucleotides) under uncultured bacterium. RNAcentral's name for it is "bacterial SSU rRNA". It matches the Rfam family "Bacterial small subunit ribosomal RNA", at positions 28 to 407 of the family's 1533-position model. The record is from RNAcentral.